This 3982-nucleotide long non-coding RNA is filed under the name Meleagris gallopavo (turkey). RNAcentral's name for it is "lncRNA (ENSMGAG00000020538.1)". Lineage: Eukaryota; Metazoa; Chordata; Aves; Galliformes; Phasianidae. The record is from RNAcentral.
GGAUGGGGCCCCAGACAGCCUCGUCUGGUGGGUGGCAACUCUGCUCAGGGAAUUAGAGAAUGGGCUUUAAGGCCCAUUCUAACCCAAGCCAUUCAUUCUAUGAUUCUAUUAUCUCACAUCAGUCUCUUCUAGAUAGAAUUUCUGAGAGGAAAGUUAAUUAAUCACAAACUGUCAAGGGAGCAUAUUAAAAGACUUUCCAGAGUACCUUUCCCAUGAGUUUUGUUAUAGGAGAAAGUAGCAUGAUCCUCACUUUCUUCAUGGUGGUUUAGUUCAAAGUUUGGUGCUCUCUUUAUUUAAUUCCCUUUUCCAUAAAUGCUUUCUAAUACUCCAGCUUUUCCACCUUUGUACAUUGCAUCCGUUCUUAGUACAGUGAGGAACCAAACAGAGUAAACUACAUUUCUCAGCUGCUGUUUCUCUUCAUUAAGAUUAAGGUUGGAAUCUAACUCUUGAGCUGUCUUCAGGGCAAGGAAAGAGGUGUAGAGGGACUCCCUGAAAACAUGCAAAAUGAGUAUUGAUUGGAAAGUUAAGCCAAAUUCAUACCGUUUUCCUGGGGUAAAUCAUCUGUUCUCAUCAGGACUCCAUAGAAUCAGGCUUUUGUUCAAGAACUUAAGGAAAAUGGUGAGAAAAGAGAUUUACUUCAGCUUUGCCUGUGUUCUUACUUUUUUUUAUUCUUUUUUUUUUUUAACCCUUUAUUAAGAUUGAUGGCAGUGGGAAGAAGAAAGGGUCUGCAGCUGAUGGAGGAAGGAAGAGGACAAGGAGGAAUGUAGCAGCCAAGACAAAAUGGAAGAGAUGAGGAAAAGGCUCUGGCUGAGAACAUUGGAAACAAUGUCAAAAUCAACCCUCUUCUGGAUGCUAUGGUCAUGUGCUGCCACUGAUGCCAGUGAAAGAAAGAGUAAGUCUCUAAAACAAGUUCAGGAGUUUGCAAGGUACUGUUACAUACAUAGAUCAAAAAUAGAUGUAUUUUUAUACCCGAAGUCAGACUUUCAAAAAGAUUUGGGUCCACAAACAAGGAGACAGACGACAACGGUGCUUGGAAAUGCUUUGGUGUCUCUGUUUUCCUUAGAUCGUAGGAGGCAGAUUUCACUUGGCAGUGAAGCCAAGCCCCUAAAAUGCAGUUUGCUUGUCUCCAAGAAGAGGAGGAGACACCUUUGUAGAACUGCUAUGCAGUAACAGAGCUGCUGUUUAAUUUUGGGGUAAUACAUUCCCUAUUGUACUCAUUGUUCUGCAUUUACUCUAUUGCCUGGUACUGUAAUACACUGCUCUCAGUAUGCUAAUGGGAUUUCAUGGGGCUGCCAUCACCAGCUCGAUUUGUAACAGGAAGCCAGGACAAUAAAGGCUUUCAGAAGAUUAAUGUGAGAAAUGGAUGCCUCUGUAGAGGGGCAUCAGUGCAAAAUGAAAAACAACACUGUCUUCCAUUGCUUGUUACUGCCAUCUCAUUUUCACCACUAAAUAACUAGUGCAUUUCUCUCCACAAUGAACACCAACAAAAGGAAGACAGCCUUCAUCAACAAAGGGCGUACUAUAGGAGGGAACAGACAGGGCAGCAUUCCUCUCAGGCAUUUCAUAAAAUCACCUCCCACUGUUUGCCAUCCCUGAGCUCCCUCAGAUUUUACACCACUGAGCAUCUCCUGACAACCUGCAGCUUUCCGGCAGAAAAUUCAGAACGGGUUAACAAAAGCUCUGGCAUUUUAGGAAUAGGUUUUGAUGAGCAUAUAUAUCUCAGUUAACACUUUUGUCUACCAACAUAGCUUGGCUGAUAUAGACUGCACUUGAUGCAGCGUGCACAAGUGUGCUGUUGACUCAGAAACAGCUAGACAGCAGCAGAGUGUGGUAGCCUCAGGAAAUGGCUUUGUGUUUCUCACUGGACACACAUUAUCAUUGCACACAUUGUCCCAAAGUCACUGGCUAUUCUCUGAAUUACAGAGUGCCUCUGCGUUAACAUGGAAAUUCAAAGAAUUAAAAGAAGACAAGUAUUUCACUAAUCUCUUCCUUAUUAGUUUUCCUCAUCAAUUAUAUUGUUAUUUCCGUGCAAAAACCAAGGUGAGGAUGGAGAAAGGGGGAGAAGUAAUUAAUAUGCGGAUAUUUCCAUGGCUGACGGCCAGAUUAAUCUUUCAAAUGCCUUUGGCAGGCCAAAUCUCAGGUAUGAUCCAAAAGCAUGAGAACAGAAUCAGCAGGCAUGCAGAGGCAGUGCAGAGUGUAUAAGGACAGCAGGGAGCUAGCAAACGGUUGUGUCACUGUGCAGAAACCAGCACUGUCCAAGAUCAGUUUCUCAAGAGUUCAGGCUGCCCUGGAGGCCCCAACCCUGUGUUAUUCCUUGGACUCCCACCCUUCAGUGUGGUGCAGCUGUAGUGCAUAGGGAUUGAUCGGGACCACAGCUACUCCUGCUCAUGUCCCUCCAGAGCUAUCUACAUGCUCUGUUCACUCCAGGUUGUCUACUACCUUACUGAUUCCAAAGUGCUAUUUCUGAGUUAAAUUUCCUCCUGUUUAGCUUGGGAAUUGUUUAGCUCUAUGCCAUUUAUCUAUUUCUGUCCAUGUGUUCUGGUCUUGGGAAGGUCAAGGAGCUGUGAGUUAGCAGGAAGUGGCAGUUGUGUUUGAUAUGGAUUCUUCUGGUUUCCAUCUGUCCACUGGAGUCAGAAUGUAUUGACCCAUGACACAAGGAUCAUGAACUACUUCAAGUUUGCAAGAGGUUGGGCUUGACUGUGAUAAAUACAACAUCAUUUUUGAAAAGUACCUCUCUCUUAAUAAAUUAACAUGCAAAUAAAUGGACUGGGAACUGGGAGAACAUUCCUGACGUUUCUCACAGCAAAGCCUGCUGGAAGACUGCUGUAGGUCAAUUUUUAGUUCCUGGUAACAAUGCAGUGUGUCAAGUUCUCACAUUUCUAGUGCUCUCUGAACAGGUGUGCAUGGCAGCAACACCUGUAAUAUUCUGUAGUAGUUGUGCUAUGGAGCAAUAACGAAAAGGUUACCUUGUGAUCUAUCUCUUCCCCUUUGCCCUUAGCCUGCUGGAGAAGUUCUGAAUUGAAUGUGACUCCAUUAAACUGGAUAAAAUUCUACACUGCCUUAAAACGUAAUCAACUGACUUGCUUUGCAGGAGUUUUGCUUUAAGUAUAGGAUUAUGCAUUAGAGAUGACUUUUUCCAGAAGAUUGAUUCUGCCUCAUUUUUUUUUGCUCAUCAACAGCCUGCAAUCAAGAUUCAAAUCAAGGCAUGAGCAAAGAAUUCAAACCUGUGGCUGCUUUGCUGUUCUCCUCCAUAGUUCUGAUAUCUCUGUAGCUUCUUUCCCUUUACUGCAUGAGUGUGCAUACGUGCCUGACAACUGAAUAGCGUGGGCCAAGAAAGCUUUAUUUUCCACCAUAGUUGAUGGUGUGAAUAGAGAGGUGACAGGGUUUGAUGACAAACCCAAGAUACUGAGGGUAAUAAUGAUGAAGCUACCUGUGCAGAACUGUAGAACUGCAUGAGACUUUAUACUCAAGUGUUAAAGCGGCAGAUGAAAUUUAAUGACAUAAAUAUGAAGUGAUGCACACAAGACCUUGCUAUUUCCUCGUGAUUUCUUUUGUAAAUGAUGCUCUGUAAGCUGACGCUAAUGAUUCAGGAAUAAGAUUCCCGAAUUUAUAACAGGUGGUUUUUUGACAUUGUCAGCUUAGUCGUCAAAAAAAUUUUGAAAUUUUUUAGGAAAGAAAUAGUGAAAAAAAAUCAGUGUCUUAAUAGCAUCUUAUCACUAUAUAAAUUCGUGAUGGCUCCUGUAUCUCCCGAGGUUGUUUUAGAUCUAGAAAAUUUUUAAGGAGCAAAAGAGGACAAUCAGAGAAGGUGGAUAUCAAAUACACAAUAGAUAAUUCAGUGGUGGAAAUUAACAUUUCAUACAUUUCAUGCAGGUUCAAAAUAAAACUGAGCAAGGUUCUGCAAGGUAAAUACCUAAAGGCUUCUAAGCAUGUGAAAAACCAUCUCCAACAGACCAAAUACUGCAGUUCUAAUGUAGUACUGUGG